UAUAUACUCCCUCCGUCCGGAAUUAUUUGUCGCACAAAUGUAUAAAAAUGGAUAUAUCUAGAACUAAAAUACAUCCGGAUAGAUCCAUUCCUAUGACAAGUAUUCCUGAACGGAGGGGGUACAUG
This is a non-coding RNA of Hordeum vulgare subsp. vulgare (domesticated barley), 125 nucleotides long. The record is from Rfam. Lineage: Eukaryota; Viridiplantae; Streptophyta; Magnoliopsida; Poales; Poaceae.